This 152-nucleotide unclassified non-coding RNA is filed under the name plant metagenome. RNAcentral's name for it is "partial contains small subunit ribosomal RNA, internal transcribed spacer 1, and 5.8S ribosomal RNA". The stretch from base 104 to 152 matches the Rfam family "5.8S ribosomal RNA", at positions 1 to 49 of the family's 154-position model. The record is from RNAcentral.
UAUCCGUAGGUGAACCUGCGGAUGGAUCAUUUGUGAUGUGCUCGAUGUGUGUGAGCGGGGUGUGCCGUGUGGUAACUGAGAUGAUCAGGUAGAGUUGACAUACAACUUCCAGCAACGGAUCUCUUGGCUCUCGCAUCGAUGAAGAACGCAAC